This 425-nucleotide ribosomal RNA is filed under the name uncultured bacterium. RNAcentral describes it as "partial 16S ribosomal RNA". It matches the Rfam family "Bacterial small subunit ribosomal RNA", at positions 354 to 796 of the family's 1533-position model. The record is from RNAcentral.
GUGGGGAAUCUUGCGCAAUGGGCGAAAGCCUGACGCAGCCAUGCCGCGUGAAUGAUGAAGGUCUUAGGAUUGUAAAAUUCUUUCACCGGGGACGAUAAUGACGGUACCCGGAGAAGAAGCCCCGGCUAACUUCGUGCCAGCAGCCGCGGUAAUACGAAGGGGGCUAGCGUUGCUCGGAAUUACUGGGCGUAAAGGGCGCGUAGGCGGACAGUUUAGUCAGAGGUGAAAGCCCAGGGCUCAACCUUGGAAUUGCCUUUGAUACUGGCUGUCUUGAGUACGGGAGAGGGGAGUGGAACUCCGAGUGUAGAGGUAAAAUUCGUAGAUAUUCGGAAGAACACCAGUGGCGAAGGCGACUCACUGGCCCGUUACUGACGCUGAGGCGCGAAAGCGUGGGGAGCAAACAGGAUUAGAAACCCGGGUAGUCC